Molecule: ribosomal RNA, 494 nt
Filed under: uncultured bacterium
Lineage: Bacteria
Description: partial 16S ribosomal RNA
Rfam family: Bacterial small subunit ribosomal RNA
Source: RNAcentral
GACGAACGCUGGCGGCGUGCUUAACACAUGCAAGUCGAACGGAAAGGCCUGCUUUCCCUUGUGGAUUGCGGGUACUCGAGUGGCGAACGGGUGAGUAACACGUGAGUGAUCUGCCCCCAACUUGGGUAUAAGCCUGGGAAACUGGGUCUAAUUCCCGAUAGGACUGCAGGGUGGUGCCUGUGGUGGAAAACGAUUUUCUAGUGGUUGGGGAUGAGCUCGCGGCCUAUCAGCUUGUUGGUGGGGUAAUGGCCUACCAAGGCGGCGACGGGUAGCCGGCCUGAGAGGGUGGACGGCCACAUUGGGACUGAGAUACGGCCCAGACGCCUACGGGAGGCAGCAGUGGGGAAUAUUGCCCAAUGGGCGGAAGCCUGAUGCAGCGACGCCGCGUGGGGGAUGACGGUCUUCGGGUUGUAAACUCCUUUCGACCGCGAGGAAGCCACCUGGUUGGAAGGGUGGUGACGGUAGUGUUAGAAGAAGCACCGGCUAACUACGUG